Molecule: ribosomal RNA, 293 nt
Filed under: uncultured bacterium
Lineage: Bacteria
Description: partial 16S ribosomal RNA
Rfam family: Bacterial small subunit ribosomal RNA
Source: RNAcentral
ACCUACGGGGGGCAGCAGUAGGGAAUCUUCCACAAUGGACGAAAGUCUGAUGGAGCAACGCCGCGUGAGUGAAGAAGGGUUUCGGCUCGUAAAGCUCUGUUGGUAGUGAAGAAAGAUAGAGGUAGUAACUGGCCUUUAUUUGACGGUAAUUACUUAGAAAGUCACGGCUAACUACGUGCCAGCAGCCGCGGUAAUACGUAGGUGGCAAGCGUUGUCCGGAUUUAUUGGGCGUAAAGCGAGUGCAGGCGGUUCAAUAAGUCUUAUGUGGAAAGCCUCGGGCCAAACGGGAGAUU